This is a small nucleolar RNA of Pistacia vera, 104 nucleotides long. The record is from RefSeq and is a predicted model, not a curated record. NCBI's taxonomy places the organism in Eukaryota, Viridiplantae, Streptophyta, Magnoliopsida, Sapindales, Anacardiaceae.
AAACUGUGAUGGGGACACUUCAAAAGCAACCCAUUAAAUCUCUCCCAAGCUUCCCAGUAUUGUUCAUCCUCCUUUUGUGAAAACUCAGAAAUUUCCAUGCGAAU